UGCAACAAGUCAGCGUUUACGCACACUGCGCGUGCAGACAUGAGUCGGGCUCUUGUAUGUGUGUUGACGGCUGCUUGGAGCCUGGGAAUCAGCGGCCAGACGGUGCACCAGCCAGAACGGGACAUCCACACCGUGGAGGGCGCAGCAGUGACGCUGGACUGCAGCUACGACAGGGCAGGGAACAAUGACUACAUCUUCUGGUACAAACAAGAAGUAAACACAUUGCCUGACUUCAUCCUGAGCACAGAUCGGUUCGGUUACGACAUGAUUGCGGAAAAGUACGGUGAAAGGUUUCGCUGCAUCAUGGAUGCCAGCGCUCGGCAAGCUCCCCUGCAUAUGGAACGCGUGAAGCCCAGCGACUCGGGAGUCUUCUACUGCGCCCUGUGGCCCACGCUGACACAUCCACUAGCGUGGCUGCACAAAAACACAUGCACACGCCUCAUUUCAUAA
Molecule: non-coding RNA, 450 nt
Organism: Hippocampus comes (tiger tail seahorse)
Lineage: Eukaryota; Metazoa; Chordata; Actinopteri; Syngnathiformes; Syngnathidae
Source: the annotation of a RefSeq genome assembly